GGAGGGUGUAAGUACCCAGGAAUUUAUCCAUUUCUUCUAGAUUUACUGGUGUAUGUGCAUAGAGGUGUUUGUAGUAAUCUCUGAUGGUGGUUUGUAUUUCUGUGGAGUCGGUGGUGAUACUCCGUUUAUCGUUUUUUAUUGCAUCUAUUUGAUUCUUC
Molecule: long non-coding RNA, 158 nt
Organism: Cebus imitator (Panamanian white-faced capuchin)
Lineage: Eukaryota; Metazoa; Chordata; Mammalia; Primates; Cebidae
Exons: 3
Source: RefSeq, a predicted model, not a curated record